This 382-nucleotide ribosomal RNA is filed under the name uncultured bacterium. Its description in RNAcentral is "bacterial SSU rRNA". It matches the Rfam family "Bacterial small subunit ribosomal RNA", at positions 335 to 708 of the family's 1533-position model. The record is from RNAcentral.
ACUCCUACGGGAGGCAGCAGUGGGGAAUAUUGCACAAUGGGCGCAAGCCUGAUGCAGCCAUGCCGCGUGUGUGAAGAAGGCCUUCGGGUUGUAAAGCACUUUCAGCAGUGAGGAAGGCGGAGUCGUUAAUAGCGGCCUCGUUUGACGUUAGCUGCAGAAGAAGCACCGGCUAACUCCGUGCCAGCAGCCGCGGUAAUACGGAGGGUGCGAGCGUUAAUCGGAAUUACUGGGCGUAAAGCGCAUGCAGGUGGUUUGUUAAGUCAGAUGUGAAAGCCCGGGGCUCAACCUCGGAAUAGCAUUUGAAACUGGCAGACUAGAGUCUUGUAGAGGGGGGUAGGAAUUUCAGGUGUAGCGGUGAAAUGCGUAGAGAUCUGAAGGAAUA